AAAUUGAAGAGUUUGAUCAUGGCUCAGAUUGAACGCUGGCGGCAGGCCUAACACAUGCAAGUCGAACGGUAACAGGAAACAGCUUGCUGUUUCGCUGACGAGUGGCGGACGGGUGAGUAAUGUCUGGGAAACUGCCUGAUGGAGGGGGAUAACUACUGGAAACGGUAGCUAAUACCGCAUAACGUCGCAAGACCAAAGAGGGGGACCUUCGGACCUCUUGCCAUCGGAUGUGCCCAGAUGGGAUUAGCUUGUUGGUGGGGUAACGGCUCACC
Molecule: ribosomal RNA, 272 nt
Filed under: Escherichia coli
Lineage: Bacteria; Pseudomonadati; Pseudomonadota; Gammaproteobacteria; Enterobacterales; Enterobacteriaceae
Description: partial 16S ribosomal RNA
Rfam family: Bacterial small subunit ribosomal RNA
Source: RNAcentral